Xyrichtys novacula (pearly razorfish) is the source of this 1478-nucleotide non-coding RNA. NCBI's taxonomy places the organism in Eukaryota, Metazoa, Chordata, Actinopteri, Labriformes, Labridae. The record is from the annotation of a GenBank genome assembly.
CAGCCCAUGCCCAUUCAUUCCCAAGAUGAAUCAUUCAUUUGUUCAUUCCUAUCGUGUUUACAUGUUUUUGUGUAAUAUGUCGGCCAUAUGAGCCUUUCAUAAAGGUGGUCAUCCGGAGAAAACUCUCCCUGAAAACUCUCGCGAGCCGGAGUGCUCCGCCUCGGACAAUGCGAGCACCGAGGUCUACAGGAUCCUCCAAGAACGGACACGCCGUUUUUCGAGAGAGCUCAUUGGUCAGUGGGCGGGGUUUUUAUACUCGGUGAGUUCAAUCUGGAACUUAACCUGCCCCGGAGCAGUUUAGCCGUUCAGCGUAUGUUGCUAUGGAGACUCGCCUCGCUAAGAGGUGAGCCCGCGUCGUAGAACAGGAAACCCCGAACUUAUCCUCAAAGUUACCUCGCUAAGCAGUAAUCCUGCUUCGUAGAACAGGCCCCUGGUCUCCCCUGUGAUGGCCUCUAGAGGUCAUCCUGCUGCCUAGUCUUUCCUGGCCCUGUCUGCAAGAGUUGGAGGAGCUCAUUAGGGAGAUGACUGACACCUGGCUGGGUGUGGCAGUAGGCUUAAUUGCUUAGCCAGGUCAGUCAGUCUCUCUCUGAUCUCCAUGCUGGGGCCUGUUCUACGAAGCAGGUUCAACUUAGCGAGGUAGGCUUGGCGCUACCUCGCUCAACUUAGCGCGGUAGCCAGCGGUCUCGCUACACGGUUUUACGACGCUGGUUAUCAACCUCAUAAGUGGAUCCAGCUCUGCUAUGAGCGCGUGCACACAUAUAAGGCGGAGCCUGCCGCAUCUGACCAAUCACGAACAUCGAUCAGUCUGGAGCGUCAGAGCAGGCUGGAGAGUGAAGGACUGCGGACUUUACAAACGAGGAACAGGACACGAUCAUGAGAAAGUACGACGAAUUGAAAGCUAUCAUAAACCUCAAAAGCAAAACCGUCGCCGCUGCAAAAGCACAGAGGGAAUGCUGGCAGAAAAGUAAUCUUUGAUGCCAUUAUCACCCUGAAAUAGCACUGUUCAACAUGCGCUUUUAACUAAGGUGACAGUCCCCGAAUUGGAUGAUCUGUCCCCGGCUAAAGCUGUCCGCGAAAACGUUCCUGAUUUAAGCGUUUCAUGAAUGAGAACAAAAAUGUUGCAUGUGGGCAAGAACAACGGUUAUUACAGUGGGUAGGAAGCACAAGUAAGCAGUCCUGAACAACAGUAUUUACCGGGUUAUUAUAAGGGGCGUGCGCUGCUACUAAAUAGUACCGAGAUGUUGUCUGUGAUCGCGCAGCCCAUGUCCAUUAAUUCCCAAGAUGAAUCAUUCAUUUGUUCAUUCCUAUCGUGUUUACAUGUUUUUGUGUAAUAUGUCGGCCAUAUAAGCCUUUCAUAAAGGUGGUCAUCCGGAGAAAACUCUCCCUGAAAACUCUCGCGAGCCGGAGUGCUCCUCGGACAAUGCGAGCACCAAGGUCUACAGGAUCCUCCAAGAACGGACAAGCCGUUUUUCGAGAGA